Non-coding RNA from Schistosoma curassoni, 46 nucleotides. Lineage: Eukaryota; Metazoa; Platyhelminthes; Trematoda; Strigeidida; Schistosomatidae. The record is from Rfam.
ACACUGCUGAGGAGUCCCACAAUAGGACGAAAUAGCCAUCUAGUGC